RNAcentral lists this long non-coding RNA (1373 nucleotides) under Salmo salar (Atlantic salmon). RNAcentral describes it as "lncRNA (ENSSSAG00000089799.1)". The stretch from base 172 to 225 matches the Rfam family "UnaL2 LINE 3' element". The record is from RNAcentral. Lineage: Eukaryota; Metazoa; Chordata; Actinopteri; Salmoniformes; Salmonidae.
CCUCACGACGCCAGGACAGCGGAGUCAAUCACCACCUUCCGGAGACACCUGAAACCCCACCUCUUUAAGGAAUACCUGGGAUAGGAUAAAGUAAUCCUUCUACCCCCCCCCCCCUUAAAAGAUUGAGAUGCACUAUUGUAAAGUGGUUGUUCCACUGGAUAUUAUAAGGUGAAUGCACCAAUUUGUAAGUCGCUCUGGAUAAGAGCGUCUGCUAAAUGACUUAAAUGUAAAUGUAAAUCUAAAUGUCAAUGCCAUAGCAAAAACUGACCGGGAAGAGAAGAGUGUGCUCUGCGCAGUGAAAUUAAUGUUAAAAUACACUUGUGAACUUAAACAAAAAAAACACAACGCACACCUCUACAAAUGUUUUUAUCGUUAGUAAAAUCCCAAACGGAGGCAGGUGGUUCAACUACAGUAAAUCCCUUAAAAACUUGGAUUGAAACGAUCAGAUGGAGACAUCGGAAGCACUAUCCCAUUAGAAGAGGUUGAGUAUUCCGGUAUUUACUGAAAACUGUAGAAUGACAGCCCAUUAAGCACGGAAAUGCUGGGAGAGACAAAUUAUGCAAGAGGCAGCAUAAUGUUGACGUUAUCCAGUGGGUGUUUCUGGCACACUUCCCAGGUAGGAUGGCACAACUGAGAUUACUACCAGAUAAUGUUGUGAAUUUCAGUGUUGUGGGAAACUGACAGCUAUAACCCAGUCUUUCUCUACCCCUAUACAAACUACAAUUGGUCCAUAUUAGUUGAUGAUUAAUAUUAUAGUAAUAUGGUUGAAUGUUAGUACAAUAGUAUGCCAAAGUGUAGCACUGAAAAUAGCUGAGGAAUAUACAACAAUUAUACAACUGAUACUAAAACGGCUACAGCUGUCAUAUCUAUGCUAAGGUUGACUGAGUGAUGAUGUUCUCACCUUGAGAGAAGAGUGGACGGCUGACUCGGACGGGUAGACAAUGAAGUGGCGCAGCGUGAAGCCGAGACACUGCGAGGUGCGCUGCAGCCGGAGCGUCUUGGGGCCCGGCCAGGAGAAGCGCUCACUCCCCCUGCCUGGGGACCCUGUUGCUUGGGUCGACGCCUCGCUCUGGUCAUGCCCACCCUGCUGUUUGGCCUGAGAAAAACAUAGAGAGGGAUUGAUAGAAUAUUAAUAUGGGAGAAGGUGGAUUGAAUCGAUUGAAACUGUGAAGGAUGCAGCAGAAAGAUUCAGCAGAAAGGCAAAGAGGGAGAAAGAGCGACACAGUCAGACAUGACAUCCGCAGCACACCCAUAAGAUUUAGACAUAAGGGCCUGGUCAGAUAGGAGAACAUGAACAAAUCUAGUCUAAUUUAGAUCUCCCAAUAGGAGACCUUCAGUACAGAUGACAUAAUAACAAUAAACAAUAACAAAGC